RNAcentral lists this transfer RNA (90 nucleotides) under Methylibium sp. Root1272. RNAcentral's name for it is "tRNA-Ser". It matches the Rfam family "tRNA". Rfam says of the family: Transfer RNA (tRNA) molecules are approximately 80 nucleotides in length. Their secondary structure includes four short double-helical elements and three loops (D, anti-codon, and T loops). RNAcentral also lists the same sequence under 1 other name. The record is from RNAcentral. Lineage: Bacteria; Pseudomonadati; Pseudomonadota; Betaproteobacteria; Burkholderiales; Sphaerotilaceae.
GGAAGCGUGGCCGAGCGGUUGAAGGCAGCAGUCUUGAAAACUGCCGAAGGGGCGACCCUUCCGUGGGUUCGAAUCCCACCGCUUCCGCCA